This 532-nucleotide ribosomal RNA is filed under the name uncultured bacterium. Its description in RNAcentral is "bacterial SSU rRNA". It matches the Rfam family "Bacterial small subunit ribosomal RNA", at positions 777 to 1307 of the family's 1533-position model. The record is from RNAcentral.
AAUAGAUACCCCGGUAGUCCACGCCGUAAACGAUGAGUGCUAAGUGUUAGAGGGUUUCCGCCCUUUAGUGCUGCAGCUAACGCAUUAAGCACUCCGCCUGGGGAGUACGGCCGCAAGGCUGAAACUCAAAGGAAUUGACGGGGGCCCGCACAAGCGGUGGAGCAUGUGGUUUAAUUCGAAGCAACGCGAAGAACCUUACCAGGUCUUGACAUCCUCUGCCAACCCUAGAGAUAGGGCGUUCCCCUUCGGGGGACAGAGUGACAGGUGGUGCAUGGUUGUCGUCAGCUCGUGUCGUGAGAUGUUGGGUUAAGUCCCGCAACGAGCGCAACCCUUGAUCUUAGUUGCCAGCAUUCAGUUGGGCACUCUAAGGUGACUGCCGGUGACAAACCGGAGGAAGGUGGGGAUGACGUCAAAUCAUCAUGCCCCUUAUGACCUGGGCUACACACGUGCUACAAUGGACGGUACAAAGAGCUGCGAACCCGCGAGGGUAAGCGAAUCUCAUAAAGCCAUUCUCAGUUCGGAUUGUAGGCUG